This 549-nucleotide long non-coding RNA is filed under the name Serinus canaria (Common canary). Its description in RNAcentral is "lncRNA (ENSSCAG00000011603.1)". Lineage: Eukaryota; Metazoa; Chordata; Aves; Passeriformes; Fringillidae. The record is from RNAcentral.
GUUUCCUUGUACUGAGCUUAUGUUCUCCACCCACUACUUAGUAAGAACUCCUUAACAACUUAAAGCUUUAUCCCUGUGAGUACCAGAAAAGUGAUCUGAGUAUUUAUUGAGCAGGGAGAACAAACUGCUUGCUCCAGGCAGGGAGAAAGCUUAUGGAAAUGAUAUUAGACCUUCAGCAAAGUGCACAGCUGCAUCAUACAGAAGCUGAGACUCAAACUGACAGGCAAAUAAGCCAGAUCACGGAAGGGGCCUCUGUGUGGCAGCUCUGAGCUACCAAGUGUUGGACAACUAGGCAAAAAGUGCAAUGGAACAGGGCAGAAAAUAACACACUAACUUCAGGCAACUGUUGCUUAUUCAUGGACUGGAAAGAAGCAUUUUCCACAGAUGUCAGCUUCUGUCUGCUGUCAUGCUCCACUCUGAGUGAUGCCACAUUCAGCACUGAGUAGUACUGGCAAAGGAGAGCAGCUUCUCAGAAUGAGGUGUGCAGCUGCCAUUCCAGGUGUGCAGCUGCCAUUCCAGCUGUGCAGCUGCCAUUCCACAUUGCAGUAG